UUAAAAAGCUCGUAGUUGGAUUUCUGGUAGGAGUGAACCUGGCCCUGCAUUUUUGCAGGUUGUCCGUGUGUUCACUCUGGCCAUCCUCGUGUUUUGAUUUAUUAGAACACGUCGUUUACUGUGAAAAAAUUAGAGUGUUUAAAGCAGAAGUUUGCUUCGGAAUACAUUAGCAUGGAAUAAUAAGAUAGGACUUUGGUGCUAUUUUGUUGGUUUGCACACCAAGGUAAUGAUUAAUAGGGACAGUUGGGGGUAUUCGUAUUCAAUUGUCAGAGGUGAAAUUCUUGGAUUUAUGGAAGACGAACUACUGCGAAAGCAUUUACCAAGGAUGUUUUCAUUAAUCAAGAACGAAAGUUAGGGGAUCGAAGAUGAUUAGAUACCAUCGUAGUCUUAACCAUAAACUAUGCCGACUUGGGAUUGGCAGGUGUUACUUUUUGAUGACCCUGCCAGCACCACAUGAGAAAUCAAAGUCUUUGGGUUCCGGGGGGGAGUAUGGG
RNAcentral lists this ribosomal RNA (494 nucleotides) under uncultured marine stramenopile. Its description in RNAcentral is "bacterial SSU rRNA". It matches the Rfam family "Eukaryotic small subunit ribosomal RNA", at positions 619 to 1129 of the family's 1831-position model. The record is from RNAcentral.